This 91-nucleotide transfer RNA is filed under the name Capitella teleta. RNAcentral describes it as "tRNA-Met for anticodon CAU". It matches the Rfam family "tRNA". From Rfam's summary of the family: Transfer RNA (tRNA) molecules are approximately 80 nucleotides in length. Their secondary structure includes four short double-helical elements and three loops (D, anti-codon, and T loops). Lineage: Eukaryota; Metazoa; Annelida; Polychaeta; Capitellidae. The record is from Rfam by way of RNAcentral.
GCCUCGGUAGCGCAGUAGGCAGCGCGUCAGUCUCAUAAACACAUGAAUCCGAGAAAUCUGAAGGUCGAGAGUUCGAUCCUCUCCUGGGGCA